Molecule: long non-coding RNA, 618 nt
Filed under: Homo sapiens (human)
Lineage: Eukaryota; Metazoa; Chordata; Mammalia; Primates; Hominidae
Description: growth arrest specific 5, transcript variant 7 (GAS5)
Source: RNAcentral
CUUUUCGAGGUAGGAGUCGACUCCUGUGAGGUAUGGUGCUGGGUGCAGAUGCAGUGUGGCUCUGGAUAGCACCUUAUGGACAGUUGUGUCCCCAAGGAAGGAUGAGAAUAGCUACUGAAGUCCUAAAGAGCAAGCCUAACUCAAGCCAUUGGCACACAGGCAUUAGACAGAAAGCUGGAAGUUGAAAUGGUGGAGUCCAACUUGCCUGGACCAGCUUAAUGGUUCUGCUCCUGGUAACGUUUUUAUCCAUGGAUGACUUGCUUGGGUAUGGAGAGUCGGCUUGACUACACUGUGUGGAGCAAGUUUUAAAGAAGCAAAGGACUCAGAAUUCAUGAUUGAAGAAAUGCAGGCAGACCUGUUAUCCUAAACUAGGGUUUUUAAUGACCACAACAAGCAAGCAUGCAGCUUACUGCUUGAAAGUCUUGUCUUAUUUUUUGAGACAGGGUCUUGCCUCACCCAAGCUAGAGUGCAGUGGCCUUUGAAGCUUACUACAGCCUCAAACUUCUGGGCUCAAGUGAUCCUCAGCCUCCCAGUGGUCUUUGUAGACUGCCUGAUGGAGUCUCAUGGCACAAGAAGAUUAAAACAGUGUCUCCAAUUUUAAUAAAUUUUUGCAAUCCA